AUAAGCAGUUUCGCGCACCCUUGCUGACGCGUGUGUGCCCCCUGCGUAGCCUACACCUAGCAGACAGUGAGAAAGAUAGAGAGAGAGAGCUGCACAGUGGCCAGCAGCACUGCCAACUGCAUCACCAUCACUUCCCAGCACCACCACAGUAGAAGUGCUGUUAGACACGCAUACGCAUACACGUGUGCACCUACACACGCACACGAACGCUUCCUCUGCUUUCCUUGUUUUCUUUUAGUUGCAAAAAAAAAACGUACUAUUCCUUUGCGAAGGGUGGCGAGCAAAGCCGUCUCGCACCUCUGCCCGUGUACUGCUCUUCUUUUUUGGCGCAGUGCCGAGCCGCCUUCUCCUUUCCUUAUUAGUUCUCUUCGUCUAUUUUAUCAGCGCUUGCCCCUGCCACACCCCUCGAGUCCAUGGUGCAAUUUACCGAUAUGUGGAUCACGGACGAUCCACUGCUGCGGCAGAUCCAGAUUGUAGAGGUGGUCCUCACCCACUGCGCCUCGGUGCUGUGGAGGCACAACGAGGAGAAGCUGAAAAGUGCUCCGGAGUGGGCGGCAAAACUUCGUGCUUUGCUCAAAACCAAGGCGAAGAGACUCGGCGGCGACAGCAGCUGCCGGUCACCGGAGUCGUGCGCGAGCCAACGGUCAAUGACGCAGCAGAAGAAACACAAUGGCCUCGCCGCGGCCUCGGCGGAUGCGAUUGUAUACCAGAAGAACUCAAAGGAAGACUAUCCGCCGCAGAACACGCCCACUCCGCAGCUACUGUCCUCGCAGCAGAGCUUUCAAGUCCCCCUUUCGCACAAGCAUGCCACUGCCGGUGCGGCCCUCCCCGGCGCGAUUCCGACAACACAGGGCGGCAGCGUCUUCGCUGACGAGCCGCACAGCGCGACGCACACUAAUUUAAACACCUUUAGCGAGAGCAGCACAUGCAGUAGCACGAGCCGGCUGCACUAUCCCGAGGUCGGUGCAGGCAACAACCGCGUGCGCCACUCCCCCGCCGGGCCAUUGCCGUCCGUCACACCCGACGUAUUGCUCUCGUCUUGCCGAAGCACCGAAGAACACUUAGAGGAGCUCGGCGCGCCACCGACAGCCGCGACGACGCGGCACAACGAGGUGGCUGCGGUAAGGGAGAGGAGCUCACCACCGAUUGAGCGCAGCAACACUCCCGAGCUCCCUUCCGCGCCCCUGCAGAUGAAGCGCUUGUCGGGCGGCAUCACCAAUGAGCUCUUCCAUGUCUACGACGAAGACGACCCAUCCGCAUCGGUGGUGGUGCGCGUCUUUGGCAAGGAGACGGACCGCGUCAUCUCGCGAGAGAGCGAGCUCUUCUACCAGUCUCUCUUCAUCCCCACCUACGUCCACGGCAGCAACUUCCUCGUGUACGAUUACCUGGACGGCUACUACACGCUGCCGUACCAGGACAUGUCGGCGGAGGCGAUGCCGAUCGCGCGCGCCAUCGCGGCAUUCCAGGUUCGGGCCACGCGCGCCGCCCUGCGCGAUCACGGCCAUCCGCUGCUGCGCGACUCGCAGAACAAGGACUACUGGAAGAUUGUCGACAACCAAAUGCUGGCAGCUGAGGGGAGCACGACGAGUAGCCACGACACCUACAAGGACGAGUCCCGAUUUGACCGCGAGUCGAACUACUUGAUCGGCUCGCUGACCAAGUGGGUGGACCUCGUGCUGUCGCAAGAGAUCGUCGACAGAGUGCGCGAGGACAAGCGCGAGAGCUUUCUCAUGACAGGGCGCAGCCUGCAGUCGGCCUGUGCGUGGAUGCUGUCGAUGCUGGAGCGCCAGAAGGCUUACUUGCCGGAGGGCGUCUGCCACAACGAUCUGCUGAGCGCCAACGUGAUGAUCCACAAGGUGCGAAAAGAUGUGCGGGUGAUCGACUUUGACUACACAAAGCGCAGCUUCCUGCUGUACGACGUUGCCAACCACUUCAACGAGUACCCUGGGCUCGACUGCGACUACGACACGUACUUCCCGUCCGAUGCGCACAUGUCCGCUUUCAUCGCCGAGUACCGCCGCGGUAUGCGGGAUGCACUCGAGGCGGCCUGGGCGGAGAACUCCAGCCCCACCGAUUGCGCUUCUCGCGAGUACGAGAUCUUUCCCAACGCGCGGGAGCUGUUCUGGAGCGACAGAGAGGAAGCGGAGGCGCAGGUCGUGGUGCACUGGACUCGACUCGCGAAGCUUCUCACCUUGGCUUCGCACCUGUCGUGGAGUGUCUGGUCGCUUCUGCAGGAGGCUGUGUCUGCCCUGGAUGUCGACUUUCUGAACUACGCCCAGGUUCGCUACAACCGCUACCUUGCCGUGCGGGCCGAGUGCUCAGAGAACCUGUGAUGUAUAGUGAUGCUGAGCGGAGGAGCAGCAUGCGCCGAGGAUAAAGAGGAAAGACAAGCGGCCGGUGCGUCCCGCUGCACGCCUUCUUCUGUUCGCCCAUCAUGAUGCUCCUCCUCCUCGCCCCCUUCCCCUGUGCCUUCCGUGCGGAUGCGUAGCCGUGCUGUGCAUAGCCAUACCGAGAGGCAGUAGGAAUUCAGCUUCGAUGUGCGUCGAGAAUCCGACAUAACAACUAUUUCGACACAGACAAAGGGAAAACCAAGGAUAAUUGCCUGCUCACCACAUAACCGUGCCGCCGUUUCUUCGGUGGCGUGACGUAUGCUGACAGCCAGGGUGCUGAUCACGAAAGAGGUGAUACGUGUGGCCGUCACUCUCUUCCUGUUCGGCCUCGUCGUAGGCUUGCGUUGUUCGUCGUUCGUUGUCAGUGGUGGUUUUCGCCAUGACAUCCUUCGUGAGUAUGUCAUGCGUGCAUGUUUGGAUGUGUCUGCUUUCUCCUUUCCAUCCCCGACACGCACCCGAAGUUAAGACACCGUGCUAGCACUUUGUGCUCGGUAACGCGCGCGGGCUGGUAUACGGACGCGUGUCAGUGUGUGCCUCAGCGCACCGCCCCCCCCCUCCUCCUCUCCCGUUCUCUCUGUGAUGAAGCUGGCUGUAAUGCUUUGUGGGAGAAUGGGUCCCUGUAAGACGUGCGUGCCUGCCCGCCUCCCUCCCUGUGCACCACCAGCCCUCCCCCUUCCUCGUGCUUUCGCUAUCCGUCUCUCUCUCUGUGUCCCUGUCACCGUCGAUCUGUGUGGCGGCUGCAAAGGCGGGAGAGAGAGGCGGCGCACGUGCCCGGAGAAUGAGAGUGCGCACCGUCGCUGUUAACAAAGUCAUCCCCGGCCAUCGUACGCCGGUUUCUACGCGAGAAGGCGAGCAGAGGGACGCUUCGCGGAAUAUACACCGAACGAAAAAAAAACAAACCUAGGCUUUGCUUUUACCUUCGACUCCCUCGCCCGGAUGAAUGGGAAGGGUGUGGAGGGAGGAGGGUGGGCACCGCAGUGCGCGGUAUCCAGUGCCCAGUACUCCCCGUGCUCUCCCCCCUUGAUGAGGAAGCCAGGCAGCCUCCCUCUCUCUCCGUCCCCCCAUUUCCCCGUCCCCUGCCAAAUGCCGAACCUCUUCUGGUGGUGACAGGGUCAGGCACCCGCGACGUAGGGAGGUGAGAGCGACUCACUGCUACGGAUGUCGGCGGCCAGGCCCUGGAUGGCGUGGCGUGGGAGCGACCUGCGACAGCGAACACGCUUGUGCCAUCCAUGUGCUAGGCAGAGCGUCAUGGUGACUCGAACGCAUCCCAUCUGGCCCUCGCACUGGCCACUGGUGGUAGGCAGCCUGCGUGCCGCCCCGAGGCGGGAUGCACCAAGGGUGGCGACCGGCACGGUGGGGGAGCGGCUGUGCGGCUGCCUGCGACGCGUGUGCUGAGGGCAGAGGUUUGGGGCAGAGGCCGUGCUCAGAUGGCUGAGUCGGGUGCACUGCUGCAACGCGCGUGUCUACGUCUGCUCCGCACCACGCGGAUGGGGCCCAUGGUCGGGCCGGGGGCCGAGUGCCGCUUCGCUCAGGUCACAUGGCAGAGAGUCGGCACACGUUGGUACAAGCACAUUGUUUUUUUAAUGUUCAAGGCACCAAGCAAGCCAGAGCACCGAUUUCUUCUGCUGCUCAGUGCUCCUUAUCCCCCCAUCUCGUGUACUCUCUGUGCGGUCUCUCGCGCCGUCUCCUUGCGUGCCUCGCGGGGCUAGUUGUACGGUGAAGAAGAUGUGCUUGUGUGUAUGUGGGAGGAAGGAGGGACUGUGCGCUGCAGGAACACGUGUGCGCAGGGUGGAUCGGUGUGUCAAG
This 4196-nucleotide unclassified non-coding RNA is filed under the name Leishmania donovani. RNAcentral describes it as "gene:LdHU3.27.2060(CDS-product:choline_kinase)". The record is from RNAcentral. Lineage: Eukaryota; Euglenozoa; Kinetoplastea; Trypanosomatida; Trypanosomatidae.